UGCCAGACUCCUACGGGAGGCAGCAGUGGGGAAUAUUGGGCAAUGGGCGCAAGCCUGACCCAGCAACGCCGCGUGAAGGAAGAAGGCUUUCGGGUUGUAAACUUCUUUUGUCAGGGACGAAGCAAGUGACGGUACCUGACGAAUAAGCCACGGCUAACUACGUGCCAGCAGCCGCGGUAAUACGUAGGUGGCAAGCGUUAUCCGGAUUUACUGGGUGUAAAGGGCGUGUAGGCGGGAGAGCAAGUCAGACGUGAAAUUCCAGGGCUCAACCCUGGAACUGCGUUUGAAACUGUUCUUCUUGAGUGAUGGAGAGGCAGGCGGAAUUCCGUGUGUAGCGGUGAAAUGCGUAGAUAUUAGGAGGAACACCAGUGGCGAAGGCGGUCUGCUGGACAGCAACUGGCGCUGAGGCGCGAAAGCGUGGGGAGCAAACAGGAUUAGAUACCCUAGUAC
Molecule: ribosomal RNA, 450 nt
Filed under: uncultured bacterium
Lineage: Bacteria
Description: bacterial SSU rRNA
Rfam family: Bacterial small subunit ribosomal RNA
Source: RNAcentral